UAUCAAGGGAAAUGAAAGGGUGUGGUCAGUUGAAGAAAGGCAAUUAUUUGAAAUUGGUAUAGUACCAGGGCACAGAGAUGAAGAGUAUGUGGUGAAGAAUAAAAAUUGAGACAAGAAAGUCUGAAUUCCAGGCAGGCACUAUGGUCUGUUAUUCUGUUCAAGGAGUUCCACCAUAUACCUUUUGUCCAAAAGGAUCAUUGGAACCUGCUGGAGAUGGUUUUUUCACAAUCCUCAUUUCAUUUUCUGUUAGUCUUUGAGAAAAGUGAAUAUAUAGCAAUUUAGAAAAUUGAGUAACACAUUCAGAAAUGACAACUCUGUACUUGGUUAUGCCAAGAGGAUUCUCCAGAUAAUCUCCAAGAUGUAAAGACUUAAGAUGUCAUCAAAAAACAAGGACUGGACCAGGAACGGUGGCUCAUACCUGUGGCUCCCAGCACUUUGGGAGGCCAAGGCAGGCAGAUCAUGAGGUCAAAAAUGGAGACCAUCCUGGCCAACAUGGUGAAACCCUGUCUCUACUAAAAAUACAAAAAUUAGCUGGGCAUGGUGGCACAUGCCUGUAGUCCCAGCUACUCGGGAGGCUGAGGCAAGAGAAUUGCCUGAACUUGGGAGCUGGAGGUUGCAGUGAAUGGAGAUCACACCACUGCACUCUGGCCUGGGCAACAGAGUGAGACUCUGUCACAGACAAACAAAAAACCACAAGGACUGGCUUUGAAUAUCCUGUUGUUUUGUUUCAAAAUAUGACAUUUUCAUUCAUAUUUCUUGGUUUUCUGGGGAUCUUACAUGAUUUUCACAGGAAUUCUCACUGUGAGAAUUCCUUUUCAGACAACUAAAUCUCUUUGUUAUUGUUUAUUGUUUACAUGUUAAAUAAUAUCAGUUUAUUGUGGCUUAUUUCCUGGAUACACUUUCAUUAGACAAAUAAUGAAUGGGUUUUUAAUUUCUCUUUGACAUUCUUUCCUGUGGCCAGGUAAAUGAUGCUGGACCACCAAGACAUGGACAGCCAGUUUGGGAGAAUCUAAUUUCUUCAUUAUUUUUUCUUAAUACUAUUUAUUUCAUAGAAUCUGAUAAUGGAAUAUACUUUUUGGCAUGACCUAUAUACCAUUUAUAGGUUUGUACAAAAGAGCAGUUUUUGCCAUUGAAAGUAAUGGCAUAUUACUUUUGCCAUUGAAAGUAAUAGCAAAAACCGCAAUUACUUUAUCCUGGUGUAUCUUUAUGCUGAAUAAGUUUCAUGGUUAAAAGUAUUGAAGCUAAUCAAAUUCUGGUUCUACCCUUUACCAGCCAUGAGAACUUAGGAAUGCCUUUUUAGCUUUUCUGAACUUCGGUUUUCUCAUCUUCAAGAUGAUUGUAAUGACCAAAUUUACAUCACAGAGUUUUCCUGAGUGUUAAAUGAAAUAUAACCUUUUAAAUCCUUACCACAGAAUCUGGAAUAUAUAAACGACAAAUAGUAGCAACUAUUUGUGAGCCUUUAUUUACAUAUUUACAAAAUUUAUAUGAGGUAGAUGACAUUAACUCUCUUUUAUCUAUAAGGAAAUAGGCUAAGAAAGGUUAAAUAAUUUUGACAUCACACAGCAUGUUAAUCCAAACUAUUAAACCAAUCAGAGGUACUGUCUUUCCUCUACAUUAUUCAGAAAAUACCCUUUCCUAUGCAAUACUGUAGUUGGGUACCUCUAGCGUCCAGCAGUAUCUUUGGGCCUGAAUGCCACCUAUUCCUCUCAUACCUAUUCUAUUGUUUAUUUCCUGGAUGUAAGAGCUAAUGUUUAUUAAUCAAUUAGUUACAGACCUGUGGAUUUAUAUACAUAAUUCUGAUUUUAGCUAUUUCAUAUCUAAAGUGUAUUGAAUAAAAAUGUGAAUUUCACUUCU
Pan troglodytes (chimpanzee) is the source of this 1854-nucleotide long non-coding RNA. RefSeq lists it as uncharacterized. Lineage: Eukaryota; Metazoa; Chordata; Mammalia; Primates; Hominidae. The record is from RefSeq and is a predicted model, not a curated record. The transcript is spliced from 3 exons.